CUGGGACUGAGACACGGCCCAGAUUCCUACGGGAGGCAGCAGUGGGGAAUAUUGCACAAUGGGCGCAAGCCUGAUGCAGCGACGCCGCGUGAGGGAUGAAGGCCUUCGGGUUGUAAACCUCUUUCAGUAGGAAGAAGCGAAAGUGACGGUACCUGCAGAAGAAGCGCCGGCUAACUACGUGCCAGCAGCCGCGGUAAUACGUAGGGCGCAAGCGUUAUCCGGAAUUAUUGGGCGUAAAGAGCUCGUAGGCGGUUUGUCGCGUCUGCCGUGAAAGUCCGGGGCUUAACCCCGGAUCUGCGGUGGGUACGGGCAGACUUGAGUGAUGUAGGGGAGACUGGAAUUCCUGGUGUAGCGGUGAAAUGCGCAGAUAUCAGGAGGAACACCGAUGGCGAAGGCAGGUCUCUGGGCAUUAACUGACGCUGAGGAGCGAAAGCAUGGGGAGCGAACAGGAUUAGAUACCCUGGUAGUCCAUGCCGUAAACGUUGGGCACUAGGUGUGGGGGACAUUCCACGUUUUCCGCGCCGUAGCUAACGCAUUAAGUGCCCCGCCUGGGGAGUACGGCCGCAAGGCUAAAACUCAAAGGAAUUGACGGGGGCCCGCACAAGCGGCGGAGCAUGCGGAUUAAUUCGAUGCAACGCGAAGAACCUUACCAAGGCUUGACAUGAACCGGAACGGCGCAGAGAUGUGUCGGCCACUUGUGGCCGGUUUACAGGUGGUGCAUGGUUGUCGUCAGCUCGUGUCGUGAGAUGUUGGGUUAAGUCCCGCAACGAGCGCAACCCUCGUUCCAUGUUGCCAGCGGGUUAUGCCGGGGACUCAUGGGAGACUGCCGGGGUCAACUCGGAGGAAGGUGGGGACGACGUCAAAUCAUCAUGCCCCUUAUGUCUUGGGCUUCACGCAUGCUACAAUGGCCGGUACAAAGGGUUGCGAUGCUGUGAGGUGGAGCUAAUCCCAAAAAGCCGGUCUCAGUUCGGAUUGAGGUCUGCAACUCGACCUCAUGAAGUCGGAGUCGCUAGUAAUCGCAGAUCAGCAACGCUGCGGUGAAUACGUUCCCGGGCCUUGUACACACCGCCCGUCAAGUCACGAAAGUUGGUAACACCCGAAGCCGGUGGCCUAACCCGUAAGGGGGGAGCCGUCGAAG
This 1138-nucleotide ribosomal RNA is filed under the name Arthrobacter sp. Its description in RNAcentral is "bacterial SSU rRNA". It matches the Rfam family "Bacterial small subunit ribosomal RNA", at positions 313 to 1461 of the family's 1533-position model. The record is from RNAcentral. Lineage: Bacteria; Bacillati; Actinomycetota; Actinomycetes; Micrococcales; Micrococcaceae.